Molecule: ribosomal RNA, 164 nt
Filed under: Diogenes sp. CBM-ZC15432
Lineage: Eukaryota; Metazoa; Arthropoda; Malacostraca; Decapoda; Diogenidae
Description: partial 16S ribosomal RNA
Source: RNAcentral
UCUUUACAUUACAGCUGAUAAUUAUCUUUAUUUGUAAAGUUUAAAACAAAGUAUUAACUGAAUGUUAUGUUGGGGUGACAAAUAUAUACAAAAGCUAACUGUUUUUUCAUUACACAAACUUAUUUGAGUUUUAUGAUCCUUUUUAAAGAUUUAAAGAUUAAGUU